This 449-nucleotide ribosomal RNA is filed under the name uncultured bacterium. RNAcentral describes it as "bacterial SSU rRNA". It matches the Rfam family "Bacterial small subunit ribosomal RNA", at positions 28 to 457 of the family's 1533-position model. The record is from RNAcentral.
GAUGAACGCUGGCGGCGUGCUUAACACAUGCAAGUCGAACGAAGCACUCUAUUUGAUUUUCUUCGGAGAUGAAGAUUUUGUGACUGAGUGGCGGACGGGUGAGUAACGCGUGGGUAACCUGCCUCAUACAGGGGGAUAACAGUUGGAAACGACUGCUAAUACCGCAUAAGCGCACGGUACCGCAUGGUAUCGUGUGAAAAACUCCGGUGGUAUGAGAUGGACCCGCGUCUGAUUAGCUAGUUGGUGGGGUAACAGCCUACCAAGGCGACGAUCAGUAGCCGACCUGAGAGGGUGACCGGCCACAUUGGGACUGAGACACGGCCCAAACUCCUACGGGAGGCAGCAGUGGGGAAUAUUGCACAAUGGGGGAAACCCUGAUGCAGCGACGCCGCGUGAGCGAAGAAGUAUUUCGGUAUGUAAAGCUCUAUCAGCAGGGAAGAAAAAAUGAC